RNAcentral lists this ribosomal RNA (429 nucleotides) under uncultured bacterium. Its description in RNAcentral is "bacterial SSU rRNA". It matches the Rfam family "Bacterial small subunit ribosomal RNA", at positions 29 to 506 of the family's 1533-position model. The record is from RNAcentral.
GCGAACGCUGGCGGCAGGCCUAACACAUGCAAGUCGAGCGCCCCGCAAGGGGAGCGGCAGACGGGAGAGUAACACGUGGGAACGUACCCUUCAGUACGGAACAACCAAGGGAAACUUUGGCUAAUACCGUAUACGUCCGUAAGGAGAAAGAUUUAUCGCUGAAGGAUCGGCCCGCGUCUGAUUAGCUAGUUGGUGAGGUAAUGGCUCACCAAGGCGACGAUCAGUAGCUGGUCUGAGAGGAUGAUCAGCCUCACUGGGACUGAGACACGGCCCAGACUCCUACGGGAGGCAGCAGUGGGGAAUAUUGGACAAUGGGCGCAAGCCUGAUCCAGCCAUGCCGCGUGGGUGAUGAAGGCCCUAGGGUUGUAAAGCCCUUUCGGCGGGGAAGAUAAUGACGGUACCCGCAGAAGAAGCCCCGGCUAACUUCGU